UGCACUGACCUGUCCUCCUCCAAAGAGCGGCUAAAAGCGUGAGAUGUGACAUCCUUGGUAAAGUUCUUGCCAACUGCUGACAACUCACCUGGGGUGGCAGUCACCUGGCCUUUGCCCAGCGGGCUUACUUUAGACCAUUGCUGGCAAGUAAAGCAUUGUGGAGCUGCCUCCUGAAAUUUCACUUGCCUGUCUUAAUGUUGAAAAAGUUUCAAGUAGUUUCGCUUUAGAGUCACUAAGAAACCUAGUUAUAGUCUGAAAGUGAAAUGAGAUUUAGGUUUACAUGACCCUUAGAGAAUGAGGACAGGUAUACUGUUAGGUGAGACAGGAUUAAGUCUGUGGUAUUGAGCUGUUCAGGGUGUUUGCUGUAUUAUCUCAAACUACCUGUAGUGUAUUUGUAGGUAUGGGUGAGAGUAACUGUGCUUGGAAUAGAAAAGCCCUGCUGCAUCGAGACACAAUGCUGGCAGCUGCGGCAGUGUACAGAGAAAUGUACAGAAAUGAAGAUGGUUCAGUACCUGCUACAUACCAGAUCUAUUACAUGAUAGGAUGGAAAUAUCAUGAGUCACAGGCAAGACCAGCUGAAAGAGGUUCCGCAACUGUGUCAUUUGGAGAGCUAGGAAAAAUAAACAACCUUAUGCCACCGGGGAAAAAAUCACAAUAAAUAUUUAUUCAGUGUUAA
RNAcentral lists this small RNA (676 nucleotides) under Pan troglodytes (chimpanzee). Its description in RNAcentral is "processed transcript". The record is from RNAcentral. Lineage: Eukaryota; Metazoa; Chordata; Mammalia; Primates; Hominidae.